GAGGAGCCUAGCUCUUUGGAGAUUGGUGAGGUCUUUGAUAUGUUUUGUCCAGUUUUGGGCAUCAUACUUCAGGAAAGAUCAACUUGAAGACUUUAGAUGGGAAUUACUGAAAUGCUGUGAAAUGCAACACACCAGGAAGGUCCAAGACAGGUCACAACAGAUUAAACAUUGGGAAAGGCAAGUGGAGAAUCACUGACAGAAGUUGUAGCCUCACCUAAUGACUUGCUAAAGAAGUUUCUGCAGUGCUCUGCCUUAGCUAUGAGGAGAAACCUAGAAGAGCUCCUUUGCUUCCAGCAUCACUCAGCACAUGAUGAGAAAUAUCCUGGCUCUGUCUUACUAGCUUUAUUUAUGCUGAUUUUGUAUAGUUAAUUAAAGGGCUACAGCAAACUUGUGUCAUGGGAAACAGGUCAGUGUCUUUUCACCACUACCUCAUACUCAGACAAUCAAAGAAAACCCAGAACAAGAGAAAUACAGUACCAUAUGUUUUCUGUUCAUGUUUUCCUGACUAAGGAAACCAAAUGGCAGGUAGUGGUUUUGGACAUAAUGGCCACUGGUAGUCUGUAUGGGAAGAAGAUGGCAGACUUUACUCAGCUAUGUCAAAGUAGUGUGUAAGUAAUGUGACAGUAUUUGCUGCACUAGUAACAUUUCACUAUGGGAUCAGGAAGGGACCUGGAUAUUCCUCCCAGCAUUAAAUGCUUUGCUACCUGGAUUCUCUUAGCCACACCACAGAGAAAAGAAAGCGGGUUUGUGAUUUUUCUAUUAAUGAUGGGAGAGAACUGAGUUGCUGUGAUUAUUUAGGUGUACACUGUGGUUAAUUCACAUCUCAGGAAUGUUCUCUGGUUACUAUUUUCAUGCACAUUCUUUCACUAAUAAAACAUUCGAGUACGCCUGUACAUCCACGUUUCGAGGGGGAGUCCGUGAAAUGCCGCCAUUCCCUGCUCUGGUGGCGCCACCUGGCGGCCGGCACGAGCCAUGCAACCGAGCUCGUGCCCGGCGCGACACGCGCUCUGCCUGGGCUGCUGCUCGUUCCCAAGGCAUCGCAACAACCAAAACGAGACAAGCGCUUCUGAGGAAUGCACAGCCUACGGCUCUUUCGUAUAACGGCUUU
Lagopus leucura (white-tailed ptarmigan) is the source of this 1108-nucleotide long non-coding RNA. RefSeq lists it as uncharacterized. The record is from RefSeq and is a predicted model, not a curated record. The transcript has 3 exons. NCBI's taxonomy places the organism in Eukaryota, Metazoa, Chordata, Aves, Galliformes, Phasianidae.